CCCUCUCGGGUUACCGAAUUCAGACAAACUCCGAAUGCCAAUUAAUUUAACUUGGGAGUCAGAACAUGGGUGAUAAGGUCCGUGUUCGAAAGGGAAACAGCCCAGACCACCAGCUAAGGUCCCAAAAUAUAUGUUAAGUGGAAAAGGAUGUGGCGUUGCCCAGACAACUAGGAUGUUGGCUUAGAAGCAGCCAUCAUUUAAAGAGUGCGUAAUAGCUCACUAGUCGAGUGACACUGCGCCGAAAAUGUACCGGGGCUAAACAUAUUACCGAAGCUGUGGAUUGUCCUUUGGACAAUGGUAGGAGAGCGUUCUAAGGGCGUCGAAGCAUGAUCGCAAGGACAUGUGGAGCGCUUAGAAGUGAGAAUGCCGGUGUGAGUAGCGAAAGACGGGUGAGAAUCCCGUCCACCGAUUGACUAAGGUUUCCAGAGGAAGGCUCGUCCGCUCUGGGUUAGUCGGGUCCUAAGCUGAGGCCGACAGGCGUAGGCGAUGGAUAACAGGUUGAUAUUCCUGUACCACCUAGUAUCGUUUUAAUCGAUGGGGGGGACGCAGUAGGAUAGGCGAAGCGUGCUGUUGGAGUGCACGUCCAAGCAGUAAGGCUGAGUGUUAGGCAAAUCCGGCACUCAUAAGGCUGAGCUGUGAUGGGGAGAGGAAAUUGUUUCCUCGAGUCGUUGAUUUCACACUGCCGAGAAAAGCCUCUAGAUAGAUAACAGGUGCCCGUACCGCAAACCGACACAGGUAGUCAAGAUGAGAAUUCUAAGGUGAGCGAGCGAACUCUCGUUAAGGAACUCGGCAAAAUGACCCCGUAACUUCGGGAGAAGGGGUGCUCUUUAGGGUUCACGCCCAGAAGAGCCGCAGUGAAUAGGCCCAAGCGACUGUUUAUCAAAAACACAGGUCUCUGCUAAACCGUAAGGUGAUGUAUAGGGGCUGACGCCUGCCCGGUGCUGGAAGGUUAAGAGGAGUGGUUAGCUUCUGCGAAGCUACGAAUCGAAGCCCCAGUAAACGGCGGCCGUAACUAUAACGGUCCUAAGGUAGCGAAAUUCCUUGUCGGGUAAGUUCCGACCCGCACGAAAGGCGUAACGAUUUGGGCACUGUCUCAACGAGAGACUCGGUGAAAUCAUAGUACCUGUGAAGAUGCAGGUUACCCGCGACAGGACGGAAAGACCCCGUGGAGCUUUACUGUAGCCUGAUAUUGAAAUUCGGCACAGCUUGUACAGGAUAGGUAGGAGCCUUUGAAACGUGAGCGCUAGCUUACGUGGAGGCGUUGGUGGGAUACUACCCUAGCUGUGUUGGCUUUCUAACCCGCACCACUUAUCGUGGUGGGAGACAGUGUCAGGCGGGCAGUUUGACUGGGGCGGUCGCCUCCUAAAAGGUAACGGAGGCGCUCAAAGGUUCCCUCAGAAUGGUUGGAAAUCAUUCAUAGAGUGUAAAGGCAUAAGGGAGCUUGACUGCGAGACCUACAAGUCGAGCAGGGUCGAAAGACGGACUUAGUGAUCCGGUGGUUCCGCAUGGAAGGGCCAUCGCUCAACGGAUAAAAGCUACCCCGGGGAUAACAGGCUUAUCUCCCCCAAGAGUUCACAUCGACGGGGAGGUUUGGCACCUCGAUGUCGGCUCAUCGCAUCCUGGGGCUGUAGUCGGUCCCAAGGGUUGGGCUGUUCGCCCAUUAAAGCGGUACGCUAGCUGGGUUCAGAACGUCGUGAGACAGUUCGGUCCCUAUCCGUCGUGGGCGUAGGAAAUUUGAGAGGAGCUGUCCUUAGUACGAGAGGACCGGGAUGGACAUACCUCUGGUGUACCAGUUGUCGUGCCAACGGCAUAGCUGGGUAGCUAUGUAUGGACGGGAUAAGUGCUGAAAGCAUCUAAGCAUGAAGCCCCCCUCAAGAUGAGAUUUCCCAACUUCGGUUAUAAGAUCCCUCGAAGAUGACGAGGUUAAUAGGUUCGAGGUGGAAGCGUGGUGACACGUGGAGCUGACGAAUACUAAUCGAUCGAAGACUUAAUCAAUUUUUAAA
This 2003-nucleotide ribosomal RNA is filed under the name Staphylococcus epidermidis. RNAcentral's name for it is "bacterial LSU rRNA". It matches the Rfam family "Bacterial large subunit ribosomal RNA", at positions 926 to 2925 of the family's 2925-position model. Lineage: Bacteria; Bacillati; Bacillota; Bacilli; Caryophanales; Staphylococcaceae. The record is from RNAcentral.